This 1417-nucleotide long non-coding RNA is filed under the name Homo sapiens (human). RNAcentral's name for it is "novel transcript". Lineage: Eukaryota; Metazoa; Chordata; Mammalia; Primates; Hominidae. The record is from RNAcentral.
UCAUGGCUAAAAAAGAAAGAGAAAGUCAGCUUUACCCCUCAAACAUGGGAGAAAAAGUUUCAGCAUUUUAAUUCAAAUUGGUAAAAGGCUGAGCAACCCUUAAAGCUGCCAUAAUGGAAGAAGACUGUGAGCUAGCUUAAAAAAGAGAGAAUGAAGGGGAAGAAACAAAACCCCUGUGUGGCAGAGUGUCGAGAUGAGAUGAGCAUUUAUUUGUCUCCGUCGAAUUCCUUACGGAGAUAAGGUGCAGCUGCAGGGGAUGACACCGAAGAUACAAGCACUGAGUUCACUGACAGUAUUGAGGAGGAGGCUGCACACCAUAGUCACCAGCAACUUGUCAAGGUGGCUUUGGAGAAAAGUCUGGCAACUGUGGAGACCCAGAACCCAUCUUUUUCCCCUCCUUCUCCGAUGGGAGGGGACAGUAACAGGUGUCUUCAGGAAGAAAUGCUCCACCUGAGGGCUGAGAUCCACCAGCACUUAGAAGAGAAGAGGAAAGCUGAGGAGGAACUGAAGGAGCUAAAGGCUCAAAUUGAGGAAGCAGGAUUCUCCUCAGUGUCCCACAUCAGAAACACACCAGACAAGCUCUGCUGUAGGUUCCAAGACUCCUGGAUUCUGAGAAAUUCAAUCUAGGAACACCAUGCUGAGCCUUUGCCUUGAGAAUGCGGAGCUGAAAGAGCAGAUGGGAGAAACAAUGUCUGAUGGAUGGGAGAUCGAGGAAGACAAGGAGAAGGGCGAGGUGAUGGUUGAGACUGUGGUAACCAAAGAGGGUCUGAGUGAGAGUAGCCUUCAGGCUGAGUUCAGAAAGCUCCAGGGAAAACUGAAGAAUGCCCACAAUAUCAUCAACCUCCUCAAAGAACAACUUGUGCUGAGUAGCAAGGAAGGGAAUAGUAAACUUACUCCAGAGCUCCUUGUGCAUCUGACCAGCACCAUCGAAAGAAUAAACACAGAACUGGUUGGUUCCCCUGGGAAGCACCAACACCAAGAGGAGGGGAAUGUGACUGUGAGGCCUUUCCCCAGACCCCAGAGCCUUGACCUUGGGGCUACCUUCACAGUGGAUGCCCACCAACUCAUCACAGGUGUCUGUUCCUGGUCUUCAGAUGGGUUACUGGGAUCCUCUUUAGGGAAGGAGCCAUGCUGAAGAUUCAGUGAAAUGGAGAAUACAGGGAUUCUGAGAGAAUCAAUGGGACAGAAUGUGAGGGGAGAUGAGUGGUCUCUUUUUGACCACUGAGAAAACAUUUCCUGAGAGCUCCUCUGUAGACCUGAUUGGUGCUGUGCUGUGUGCUGUGGAUACAGAUAUGAAGAAAACAUUAUCCCAGCGCUCCAGGAGCUCCAUCUGGAAAGCAAGUCACUGCCAAAUGGCAUGAGAAGUGCUGUGACAGACUUGAGUAAAGUCCACAGGGUUCAGAAGGGGCGGUGGUCG